This 253-nucleotide ribosomal RNA is filed under the name uncultured bacterium. RNAcentral's name for it is "partial 16S ribosomal RNA". It matches the Rfam family "Bacterial small subunit ribosomal RNA", at positions 524 to 776 of the family's 1533-position model. The record is from RNAcentral.
UACGGGGGGAGCAAGCGUUGUUCGGAUUUACUGGGCGUAAAGGGCGCGUAGGCGGCGCAACAAGUCACUUGUGAAAUCUCCGGGCUUAACCCGGAGCGGCCAAGUGAUACUGUCGUGCUAGAGUGCGGAAGGGGCUACUGGAAUUCUCGGUGUAGCGGUGAAAUGCGUAGAUAUCGAGAGGAACACCUGCGGCGAAGGCGGCAUCCUGGACCAACACUGACGCUGAGGAGCGAAAGCCAGGGGAGCAAACGGG